UCUGCUUGUGAUUCUGUUGUCCUCUGGUGUUUUCCUGUUCUCUGCCUGCCUCCCUGUGUCUCCUCCCCUGCGUGUGCUCUCCCUCUCUCUCUCCCUCCGCUCCUGAGCCAGCCCAGCCAACGACCCGCACCUCGUCAGCCACCUCCUCUGCCUGUCACACCUGCCAGCAAUCAACCUCAUCCCUGCCUGCAUAUCAACCCCGGAUCUCCACUCCAUCGCUGCUUGAUCGUUGUUGUUCCUAACCUGGUCCACUCCCCUCCAUCCUCCGUUCAUCAGUCAGCUGGGCUCGCCACCCUGCCCUCUCCCUUAAGACCUCUCCCAUAGCGUCCUCCCGGCUCCUCCCCGUGCCUCCUUGCUUCCUCGGUCCCCAGUGCCCCCCGGCUCCCUUGUCGCAGUCUCCAUGGUUCCCCUUGCCCGUGUUUCCCCGGCGUCCGCCUCUCCCUCAAUCCCUUUUUCCCCCUUCAAUAAAGCCUGUUCUGCCUGA
Molecule: long non-coding RNA, 484 nt
Organism: Micropterus dolomieu (smallmouth bass)
Lineage: Eukaryota; Metazoa; Chordata; Actinopteri; Centrarchiformes; Centrarchidae
Exons: 2
Source: RefSeq, a predicted model, not a curated record